RNAcentral lists this ribosomal RNA (293 nucleotides) under uncultured bacterium. RNAcentral's name for it is "partial 16S ribosomal RNA". It matches the Rfam family "Archaeal small subunit ribosomal RNA", at positions 455 to 747 of the family's 1478-position model. The record is from RNAcentral.
GUGCCAGCCGCCGCGGUAAUACCGGCAGCUCAAGUGAUGUCCCAUAUUAUUGGGCCUAAAGCGUCCGUAGCUGGCCGACCAAAUCUCCCGGGAAAUCCACCCGCCCAACGGGUGGGCGUCCGGUAGAAACUGGCCGGCUUGGAACCGGAAGGCUCAGAGAGUACGUCCGGGGUAGGAGUGAAAUCCCGUAAUCCCGGACGGACUACCGAUGGCGAAAGCACUCUGAGAAGACGGCUUCGACAGUGAGGGACGAAAGCUCGGGUCUCAAACCGGAUUAGAUACCCGGGUAGUCC